ACGGAGGGUGCGAGCGUUAAUCGGAAUUACUGGGCGUAAAGCGCACGCAGGCGGUUUGUUAAGCAAGAUGUGAAAGCCCCGGGCUCAACCUGGGAACUGCAUUUUGAACUGGCAGACUAGAGUCUUGGAGAGGGGGGGUGGAAUUCCAGGUGUAGCGGUGAAAUGCGUAGAGAUCUGGAGGAACAUCAGUGGCGAAGGCGGCCCCCUGGCCAAAAGCACUGACGCUCAUGGUGCGAAAAGUGUGGGGAGCGAAACAGGAUUGAGAUACCCCCUGUAGUCC
This 280-nucleotide ribosomal RNA is filed under the name uncultured bacterium. RNAcentral describes it as "partial 16S ribosomal RNA". It matches the Rfam family "Bacterial small subunit ribosomal RNA", at positions 525 to 796 of the family's 1533-position model. The record is from RNAcentral.